This 1585-nucleotide ribosomal RNA is filed under the name Salmonella enterica subsp. enterica serovar Bovismorbificans. Its description in RNAcentral is "partial 23S ribosomal RNA". It matches the Rfam family "Bacterial large subunit ribosomal RNA", at positions 1253 to 2823 of the family's 2925-position model. Lineage: Bacteria; Pseudomonadati; Pseudomonadota; Gammaproteobacteria; Enterobacterales; Enterobacteriaceae. The record is from RNAcentral.
AAGGUGGCCUGUGAGGGUUGCUGGAGGUAUCAGAAGUGCGAAUGCUGACAUAAGUAACGAUAAAGCGGGUGAAAAGCCCGCUCGCCGGAAGACCAAGGGUUCCUGUCCAACGUUAAUCGGGGCAGGGUGAGUCGACCCCUAAGGCGAGGCCGAAAGGCGUAGUCGAUGGGAAACGGGUUAAUAUUCCCGUACUUGGUGUUACUGCGAAGGGGGGACGGAGAAGGCUAUGUUGGCCGGGCGACGGUUGUCCCGGUUUAAGCGUGUAGGCUGGUUUUCCAGGCAAAUCCGGAAAAUCAAGGCUGAGGCGUGACGACGAGGCACUACGGUGCUGAAGCAACAAAUGCCCUGCUUCCAGGAAAAGCCUCUAAGCAUCAGGUAACAUCAAAUCGUACCCCAAACCGACACAGGUGGUCAGGUAGAGAAUACCAAGGCGCUUGAGAGAACUCGGGUGAAGGAACUAGGCAAAAUGGUGCCGUAACUUCGGGAGAAGGCACGCUGACACGUAGGUGAAGUGAUUUACUCAUGGAGCUGAAGUCAGUCGAAGAUACCAGCUGGCUGCAACUGUUUAUUAAAAACACAGCACUGUGCAAACACGAAAGUGGACGUAUACGGUGUGACGCCUGCCCGGUGCCGGAAGGUUAAUUGAUGGGGUCAGCGCAAGCGAAGCUCCUGAUCGAAGCCCCGGUAAACGGCGGCCGUAACUAUAACGGUCCUAAGGUAGCGAAAUUCCUUGUCGGGUAAGUUCCGACCUGCACGAAUGGCGUAAUGAUGGCCAGGCUGUCUCCACCCGAGACUCAGUGAAAUUGAACUCGCUGUGAAGAUGCAGUGUACCCGCGGCAAGACGGAAAGACCCCGUGAACCUUUACUAUAGCUUGACACUGAACAUUGAGCCUUGAUGUGUAGGAUAGGUGGGAGGCUUUGAAGCGUGGACGCCAGUCUGCGUGGAGCCGACCUUGAAAUACCACCCUUUAAUGUUUGAUGUUCUAACGUGGACCCGUAAUCCGGGUUGCGGACAGUGUCUGGUGGGUAGUUUGACUGGGGCGGUCUCCUCCUAAAGAGUAACGGAGGAGCACGAAGGUUGGCUAAUCCUGGUCGGACAUCAGGAGGUUAGUGCAAUGGCAUAAGCCAGCUUGACUGCGAGCGUGACGGCGCGAGCAGGUGCGAAAGCAGGUCAUAGUGAUCCGGUGGUUCUGAAUGGAAGGGCCAUCGCUCAACGGAUAAAAGGUACUCCGGGGAUAACAGGCUGAUACCGCCCAAGAGUUCAUAUCGACGGCGGUGUUUGGCACCUCGAUGUCGGCUCAUCACAUCCUGGGGCUGAAGUAGGUCCCAAGGGUAUGGCUGUUCGCCAUUUAAAGUGGUACGCGAGCUGGGUUUAGAACGUCGUGAGACAGUUCGGUCCCUAUCUGCCGUGGGCGCUGGAGAACUGAGGGGGGCUGCUCCUAGUACGAGAGGACCGGAGUGGACGCAUCACUGGUGUUCGGGUUGUCAUGCCAAUGGCACUGCCCGGUAGCUAAAUGCGGAAGAGAUAAGUGCUGAAAGCAUCUAAGCACGAAACUUGCCCCGAGAUGAGUUCUCCCUGAGACUU